CGCUGAGAGAGGAGCUUGCUCUUCUUGGAUGAGUUGCGAACGGGUGAGUAACGCGUAGGUAACCUGCCUUGUAGCGGGGGAUAACUAUUGGAAACGAUAGCUAAUACCGCAUAACAAUGGGUGACUCAUGUCAUUUAUUUGAAAGGGGCAAAUGCUCCACUACAAGAUGGACCUGCGUUGUAUUAGCUAGUAGGUGAGGUAACGGCUCACCUAGGCGACGAUACAUAGCCGACCUGAGAGGGUGAUCGGCCACACUGGGACUGAGACACGGCCCAGACUCCUACGGGAGGCAGCAGUAGGGAAUCUUCGGCAAUGGGGGCAACCCUGACCGAGCAACGCCGCGUGAGUGAAGAAGGUUUUCGGAUCGUAAAGCUCUGUUGUAAGUCAAGAACGAGUGUGAGAGUGGAAAGUUCACACUGUGACGGUAGCUUACCAGAAAGGGACGGCUAACUACGUGCCAGCAGCCGCGGUAAUACGUAGGUCCCGAGCGUUGUCCGGAUUUAUUGGGCGUAAAGCGAGCGCAGGCGGUUUGAUAAGUCUGAAGUUAAAGGCUGUGGCUCAACCAUAGUUCGCUUUGGAAACUGUCAAACUUGAGUGCAAAAGGGGAGAGUGGAAUUCCAUGUGUAGCGGUGAAAUGUGUAGAUAUAUGGAGGAACACCGGUGGCGAAAGCGGCUCUCUGGUCUGAAACUGA
RNAcentral lists this ribosomal RNA (692 nucleotides) under Streptococcus sp. HFH0007. Its description in RNAcentral is "bacterial SSU rRNA". It matches the Rfam family "Bacterial small subunit ribosomal RNA", at positions 65 to 743 of the family's 1533-position model. Lineage: Bacteria; Bacillati; Bacillota; Bacilli; Lactobacillales; Streptococcaceae. The record is from RNAcentral.